This is a long non-coding RNA of Micropterus dolomieu (smallmouth bass), 3558 nucleotides long. RefSeq lists it as uncharacterized. The transcript has 2 exons. The record is from RefSeq and is a predicted model, not a curated record. Lineage: Eukaryota; Metazoa; Chordata; Actinopteri; Centrarchiformes; Centrarchidae.
UUUGGACUUUUGGACUUUUGUGACUUGAACUACACCUUCAAGGUGAAAUGGUUAAAAGAAUGCUUAAAUGCACCCGACUCAUUAUGAUACUUUAUCCCACAUAACAUUUUCAAAGAAGUUGGAGGUCUCCAAUUCUUAUUGAAGUGUCACUAUAAUAUCACAAAGUUAAAACUGUCCCGAUUUUUUCAACAAGCUCUUUUAGCGUGGAAGCUGUGCUGUUCUCAUAACUUCUCUCCACACAAGUCUAUUAUAUGGAAUAAUGAAUGCAUCACCAAAAGGAACAAGUCACUUUAUUUACAAAACUGGUUUGACAGAAUUAUCAUCUUCUUAAGGGACUUAUUUGAUUGUAACGGUCAAUUAAUUUAGUAUGAGUCCUUUCUUAGAGAGAAAGCAUUCCCAAUAACAUUCAGAGAAUAUAGCUCAGUCUUUAAAUCUAUACCUAAUGGUUUAUUGGAACUAAUGAAAACCUAUAAGAAACAGCAAGAAGUGCCCAGUUUCACAUAAUCUUUAUAUAAAUAAUAUUGAUAUUUUAACAAACACAUUAGAAAAUGCUUUUUAAAUUUAAAGAAAAUAACACCUGGUGGCUAAUUCUCAGUUUUCCAAUAUUAAGUGUUGUAAAGCACGGCUUGUUCCUUUUAGAUUCUGUAUUACAAACAAAGUUAGAGAAUUACAUUUGAAAAUUUUGCAUUAAAUAUAUCCAACCAACAUGCUUAUCUCAAAAUUCAUGCUUGUUGUUAACAACUGCACCUUUUGUAGAACAGAACAAGAAACUUUAAAUCAUCUUUUCUACGACUGUUCAUUCUGCAGCACAUUCUGGAGGAACCUUGAGAAUUACAUAUAUUCUAAAACAACACAUACAAUCACAGUUGAAAGGAAAAAUGUCAUUAGCUACUUUGAAUCUAAAGAUAAGAACUUAUGCACCGUUGUGAAUCUCUUUAUUUUGUGUGGAGAAAAGUGAAGAGACUGCCAUGAAAAGUAUGGACUGAAAAGAAAAGAAAGAAAAGCUUCCAGACGACAUAGAUGUUGCUCAUCGAGUUGGAAAACCGCGACCCGAGAUCCCGCGGCAUAACCCUCAGGUUCAUCUCACGGCGGCACAGGGAGGCAGUUUGGAAGGCUGCAAAGAACAACAACUUUCUUCAAAGAAAAGGUUUGCGCUUCACGGAGGAUUUGACAAAGGAAGACGGACAGAAACUGUGGCCUACGAUCAAGAAGGCACGAGAGGAGGGGAAGUCAGCCUACUUUCUGGGAGGAAAAGGCUUUUUUAAUGGACUGGAAAUUCAUCCGUAGACAUUCUUCACGGAGAAAACUCUUCUUGAAUCUAUCGGGUUCUGAUUUAUCGAUGGGAGAAUUCUGCCUCCCCGUUUAAAAAUGUGAGGCCUUACUUCUCUCACAUAUAUGUUGAUCUGCCUGGGCGUAUUUAAUUUAUUCUUUGUUACUCAUCAGCUUCUAAAUGGGCAGAAACGCAACCAACUUUAAUUCAAGUGUUUAAUCAGAGAUGCUUUAAAUAGCCUAGGUGUUCUGAAAUUUAUCCAAACUUAACUCUUUCCUUUGUAUCACUCAAUGCUAGGGGGAUAUGUAAUAGUGUUAAACGUGAAGCUAUAUUUCUUUUUGCUAAACAGUUCAAGUCAGAUUUUUUUCUUUUUACAAGAAUCUCAUUCUCUUCCAAAUGAUGCCACUUUUUGGAGACCUCGGUGGGGUAACUCCAUAUGGCUUUCUCACGGUACAGAACGUUCAGCUGGACAGAUUUAUUGGAGAUAUCCUACUUACAAAAUGUGAUCUAGCUGGAUUCUGGAUGGUAUUUUGGAGAAAUGGCCACCUGGUCAACCAAACAGAAACAAUGCCAACUUAACAGCCUUUGCAGACAAAUUCAGGCUUGUAGAUAUUUGGAGAAAAAAAUAUUUUAACAGCAGGUCAUAUAGUUGGAGUAAUAAAACAGGCUCCAGUCAAUCAAGGAUAGAUUUUUGGUUAGUGUCGGAGACCUUUAAUAAAGAUCUUAUUGAUGUGGAAAUAUGGCCCACUCCUCUUACAGAUCAUAAGGCAAUACACAUUAAGAUAAUUUAAUACAUUUUCCAUAAUUAAAUAUGUCGCUGCUCAGUCAGCGUAUUGGAAACUCAAUAGCUCUCUACUAUUAAAUGAGGAAGUUAAAAAAGAGGUUACAUCUCUGAUUUUUUUUGGUCCAAAACUAAGGAAGAAAAAACAUUUGGAAAUAAUUGGGAACUUUUAGAAUUCGAGGUUGGUAAGUUUUUAAGAAAAUAUGGUAAAUAUGGUAAUAAAAGCCAAAUCCAGAAGAGUUGAAGAGGAAGAGGUAAUAACAAAGAUCACCUUUUUAUCUCAAAAGAACCCAGAUAUAAUUUUAGAGGAGGAAAACAGAAUUAGGUCUGCAAGUUAAACUUGAUGAUUUAUACAUUGCAAAAAGCAAAAGAUCUAGAGCAAAAUGGCUUGAAGAAGGAGAACAAAACUCACAUUAUGUUUUCAAUUUAGAAAAACAUCAUUCUAAUAAUAACAAUAUUGAUAAACUAAAUAUUAAUGAGUUGUUACAGAGGACUUCAAAGUAAUAUCAGGUACUGUGGUAACUUUUAUAGAGAUUUAUAUAGCUCCAAAUUCUGCCAAGAAUCAGCUGUGUCUUUUACGAACUCUCUGACAGUUUAAUCUAUUAAUGAAAACGAAAUGGAGUUAUGUGAUAACCCUGUCACAUUUGAAGUUAGGAAAGCAGUUAAUCUCCUAAAAAAACAACAAAUCACCAGGUACCGAUGGACCGACCUUUGAACUUUUUGUCGAAUCCAUGGAAAGAGAAUCUCUUCCAACAACCAGGACUCAAGGUCUGACCACAUAAAUUCCCAAACCAAACAAAGACAAAUGACUUAUUGACAAUUGGCGUCCAAUAUGUUUGUCUUAAUAAUGAUUAUAAGAUAUUUGCUCUACUACAGGCUAAAAGACUUAAAAUGGUACUGAACUCUGUUAUCGAAGAAACACAGUCAGGCUUCAUGACCAAAAGACAUAUAACCAAUAAUAUUAGACUUGUCCUACACGUCCUAGAUUACGCACAUUUGAUUGAUGAUAAUGGGUUUAUUUUAUUUUUAGGGUUAGUGGUUACUGUGGAGCAUCAGUUCAUCUUACAGUCUUUAAAGAAAUUCGGCUUUGGUCAUUUUUUCUGUACAGCUAUUAAAACUCUAUAUAAGAACAGCAACAGUAUAUUAAAGUUAUGGGUGGUACGUCCCCACGAUUUAAUCUGUCUAGAGGCAUUAGACAGGGUUGCCCCACUUCCCCGUACCUCUUCCUUUUAGUAGCUCAACUGUUGGCAAACCAUAUUAAAUCCAGUGCUGUGAAAGGAGUCUCUCUUAUAGGGAGAGAAUGAAUUAUAACUCAGCUGGCAGAUGACACCACAUUAUUCCUGAAAAAUGAAAAACCAAAUUUCUGUUGCAAUUGAUGUAAUCAACAUGUUUUCUAAGGCUUCUGGUUUGUAUUUGAAUGUAAGUAAGUAAGUUUGAACUUAUGGCUAUAAAAGAGUGCCUUAAAACAGCUCUUUGUAAUAUCCCAAUAAAAACGAGUUAAAAGAAA